This 2086-nucleotide ribosomal RNA is filed under the name Vibrio parahaemolyticus NIHCB0603. RNAcentral describes it as "bacterial LSU rRNA". It matches the Rfam family "Bacterial large subunit ribosomal RNA", at positions 1 to 2107 of the family's 2925-position model. Lineage: Bacteria; Pseudomonadati; Pseudomonadota; Gammaproteobacteria; Vibrionales; Vibrionaceae. The record is from RNAcentral.
UUAAGUGACUAAGCGUACACGGUGGAUGCCUUGGCAGUCAGAGGCGAUGAAAGACGUAGUAACUUGCGAUAAGCCCAGAUUAGGUAGUAACAACCAUUUGAGUCUGGGAUUUCUGAAUGGGGAAACCCACGUGCAUAAGCACGUAUCCUUACCUGAAUACAUAGGGUAAGGAGGCGAACCGGGGGAACUGAAACAUCUAAGUACCCCGAGGAAAAGAAAUCAACCGAGAUUCCGAAAGUAGCGGCGAGCGAAAUUGGACUAGCCCUUAAGCUUUACACGCGUUAGACGAACGGUCUGGAAAGUCCGACGAUACAGGGUGAUAGUCCCGUAGUUGACGACGUGUGUUCAGUGAAAUCGAGUAGGGCGGGACACGUGAUAUCCUGUCUGAAUAUGGGGGGACCAUCCUCCAAGGCUAAAUACUACUGACUGACCGAUAGUGAACCAGUACCGUGAGGGAAAGGCGAAAAGAACCCCUGUGAGGGGAGUGAAAUAGAACCUGAAACCGUGUACGUACAAGCAGUAGGAGCAGGCUUUGUCCUGUGACUGCGUACCUUUUGUAUAAUGGGUCAGCGACUUAUAUUCAGUGGCAAGGUUAACCAUCUAGGGGAGCCGUAGGGAAACCGAGUCUUAACUGGGCGUUCAGUCUCUGGAUAUAGACCCGAAACCAGGUGAUCUAGCCAUGGGCAGGUUGAAGGUUGAGUAACAUCAACUGGAGGACCGAACCGACUAAUGUUGAAAAAUUAGCGGAUGACUUGUGGCUAGGGGUGAAAGGCCAAUCAAACCUGGAGAUAGCUGGUUCUCCCCGAAAGCUAUUUAGGUAGCGCCUCGGACGAAUACUACUGGGGUAGAGCACUGUUAAGGCUAGGGGUCAUCCCGACUUACCAACCCUUUGCAAACUCCGAAUACCAGUAAGUACUAUCCGGGAGACACACGGCGGGUGCUAACGUCCGUCGUGGAGAGGGAAACAACCCAGACCGCCAGCUAAGGUCCCAAAUUACUACUAAGUGGGAAACGAUGUGGGAAGGCUCAGACAGCCAGGAUGUUGGCUUAGAAGCAGCCAUCAUUUAAAGAAAGCGUAAUAGCUCACUGGUCGAGUCGGCCUGCGCGGAAGAUGUAACGGGGCUAAGUAGUAAACCGAAGCUGCGGCAAUGUGCUUUUGCACAUUGGGUAGGGGAGCGUUCUGUAAGCGGUUGAAGGUGUGUGGUAACGCAUGCUGGACGUAUCAGAAGUGCGAAUGCUGACAUGAGUAACGAUAAAGGGGGUGAAAAACCUCCUCGCCGGAAGACCAAGGGUUCCUGUCCAACGUUAAUCGGGGCAGGGUAAGUCGACCCCUAAGGCGAGGCCGAAAGGCGUAGUCGAUGGGAAACGGUUAAUAUUCCCGUACUUCUUACAAUUGCGAUGGGGGGACGGAGAAGGCUAGGUGGGCCUGGCGACGGUUGUCCAGGUUCAAGUGCGUAGGCUUGAGAGUUAGGUAAAUCCGGCUCUUUUUAAGGCUGAGACACGACGUCGAGCACCUACGGGUGUGAAGUCAUUGAUGCCAUGCUUCCAGGAAAAGCCUCUAAGCUUCAGAUUGUAAGAAUCGUACCCCAAACCGACACAGGUGGUCGGGUAGAGAAUACCAAGGCGCUGAGAGAACUCGGGUGAAGGAACUAGGCAAAAUGGUACCGUAACUUCGGGAGAAGGUACGCUCUCGACGGUGAAGUCCCUCGCGGAUGGAGCUAUUGAGAGUCGCAGAUACCAGGUGGCUGCAACUGUUUAUUAAAAACACAGCACUGUGCAAAAUCGUAAGAUGACGUAUACGGUGUGACGCCUGCCCGGUGCCGGAAGGUUAAUUGAUGGGGUUAGACUUCGGUCGAAGCUCUUGAUCGAAGCCCCGUAAACGGCGGCCGUAACUGAUAACGGUCCUAAUGGUAGCGGAAAUUCCUGGUCGUAAGUUCCGACCUGCCACGAAUGGAGCGCGUAAUGAUGGGCCGAGCGCGGUGUCUGCGCGGGAGCGCGAGAGCGUCGGAGGAGGAGUUGAAAAUCGGCUGUGAGAGUGCAGGUGUACGCGCGGGCUAGACGGAAAGACCCCGUGAACCUUUACUAC